Molecule: ribosomal RNA, 76 nt
Filed under: Mantidactylus majori (Ivohimanita Madagascar frog)
Lineage: Eukaryota; Metazoa; Chordata; Amphibia; Anura; Mantellidae
Description: partial 16S ribosomal RNA
Source: RNAcentral
UGAAGAAGCGGGGAUAUUUAUAUAAGACGAGAAGACCCCAUGGAGCUUCAAACCCAAUUACACCCCCCCCCCCCCC